GUCUUUUUCAGGUUGCGGCGGAGCCUGUGGGACGGAUCCCCGCCGUAACGCGAGGUUCCCCUGUACUGCUUUCUCUAGGGAUAUGCCAGCCAGGCAUCACAAGCUGGUUGGUUAUUCUGCACACAAUAUCUUUCCCCAUUUUCAGCAGAGGGCUCUGGUCCAUCUUGGGAUUCUGCAAUUUAGCCUCUUUGGAAAGGUCAGCUUUGGAAUUUAGCCUAUUAAUCAAACUAUGGACAAUUCAUUGCAGGCAAAGUGGGAAUUUAAUUGGAGACUUAACCAGAGGAAACACGGUGUAUCCUUUUAAGCUCGCAAAGCUUAUCAUUGAUAGAAACGCUAAAAGAAAUCACGAGUCAUUGCUAGCAGAUUCCCCCGAUCAAAUGGAGAAAACGACAUAGUGUGUGUUUGGGAAGAGACAAAAUGCGGGGCGGGGGGGGGGGGAGAGACAACAAACCAUUUAGAGAGCACUUAAUUUGUAAACAAGCACACUUUGUGGAACUCUCUGGACAGCAUUCAAGAGCAUAGUAACAGAUUCUUUUGCAGCAAAAAUUUGGAGAUUUUCACCAUUGACCUUAAGCAGUCCCAGGCAGUAAUUUAAAAUACUUUAUUACCAUGGCAGAAACCCAGGGUGCAAUUCAGCCAUAAAGAUAACUUUAAAGUCUCGCUGAAUUCAGCGAGAGAGAUAAAGAUGUGCUUAAAUGUAUCCCACUGAAAUCAGGGAGAACGCGUGUGAUUCGAAAAGUACUUUGUUGUAGCUGCAAUAGUGCCCACAAUAUUGCUGCCUGCCACCCCAAUCUCUGAGAGGCCAGGGGUUCCAGGCUCUCACCCAGAGCCCAUGUUUCCUUUUGGAAAUGAGGUGCGUCGGAGACUGCGGUCUUUUUAGAAUAUAUAGUUUAUUGGCACAUGGAGGGGCUCCCAGCAUUCAGUCCUCCUUGGGUCUUGCGUCCUCCACAGACGCUUCCCAGUCACAGAACUCCCUGCGCUCAGCUUCUGGCCCACAUUGCUUUUCUUCCUCCUUCUCUCACCUAAGCUCGCAAUAUAGCAUCUUUGUGCACCUUUUAGCUGGCGAAUCGCAACACAAAAUUCAGAGAAGUGCACAUUUUGAAGAAUAGCUGUAUUUCCAUUCACUUAUUGGUCUGUGAAGUAUGAACUGAAUCGGUUCACAUUAAAAGACAAACUGAAUGACUUCCUCUUGCAUGCCUAGUCUGACAAUCUUUUAAUUUCAAGUGCUUAAUAUGGUCAUGAACAUGUGAUUGAACAGCUUUUGAAUCAUAGAAUCACAGAGUUGGAAGAGACCACAAGGGCCAUUGAGUCCAACCCCCUGCCAAGCAGGAAACACCACCAGAGCACUCCUGACAUACGGUUGUCAAGCCUCUGCUUAAAGACCUCCAAAGAAGGAGACUCCACCACACUCCUUGGCAGCAAAUUCCACUGUCAAACAGCUCUUACUGUCAGGAAGUUCUUCCUAACAGUAAGAGCUGUUCGACAGUUUUUGAAAAUGAGGGAAACCUACAGUUUGGGCCUCAAACCCCGAUAUCCACUUAGAUGCUCUUAAAGAAACAGAUCCUCACUAUUUUGUUCCUCUCUGUAUUUUUGUUUCUUUUAGAUGCUGCAUUUUUCUCAUCAAUAAAACCACCUGGGGGAAAAAGAUUUCAUACAUGCUUAUAGAUCUUGAGGGUUCACCCUCUUCACAGCGUCCUUUCAUCCCUUUUCUAGGGCGAGAGAAUGCAUAUUUACAGAGUGGGGUCAUUCCAACCAAGCCUUUUUAGUAAAUAGAUACUAGUUUGUCCAGAAAUGUUACCUAGGGUAUCUAGGCUCUUUGUCCUUCGAUUUAAUUUUCCCUGAAGCAGAGCCGUUUAUUAGUGCUGUUUAACACAGUGGAGAAAGUUUCAGCAGCGAGGGAAAGGAAGGCAGGAGGAGGCCAUUUUCUCUCCUCUCUUCUCGUCCGCUUUCACCCCUGGGAGCCCGGCGUAGUGAGGCCAGGCUGGCUGCAGUCCUGCUCCAGAAUGGAAGGAGGAGAAAGGAGAAAGCCAGAGAACACCAAUUCCCAAAGCGCCAAAAGGGUUUAUGAAGCACAACGUGUUUGGGAAUUGAGGAAUUCCUUCAACGAUGGCAACCUAGAAAAACAUAAAAAUGGAUACAGCCGCAAAGUCCUCCACAGAUUUCUAAUUACUUUAUUCCAUAUUGAGGAAGCCUCAGUGUAAAUUAUUCCCAUCUGCCGCUGGGGAUAGCACAGUUACAAUGCUCCAUGAUUUUCUAUACUCAGAAUGUGCUGCUUGGAUUUAAAAUAUUAAAUCAAGCCAUUUUGGCUUUUAGCCUGGUUUAUGAAGUCUCUUGGCUUUUUUCUUAAUUUUGCACAGGGUAAAGGCCUCCCUGCCACUCCCCCCCAAUGCCCCUUGACUGACAAUAAGGAAGCCAUGCUGAUGUUAACAGCGGGGGGGGGGGGGGAGGCAGAGUACCAAAAAAACACUUCACUUGCUGUAACGCAGCAGUCAUGUGAAGACCUCACAGUUGUCUCAUCCUCUCCAGCGGAUCAUGUGCAAAGCUGCUGCUUCCCCUCCUGGGUCCUGGAGAGCCGGGGGGGGGGCGCCAGCAGUACAAUUCUCCUCACACGUGCCUGUAGGACAACCUCAAAAUAUAGACAUCAAGAAAUGGUGCCGCUGUUGGUGACUACCUGCAGCUGACUCUGUCAUUUCCAUUCCAGCAACUUGUAGAAUGCCUCAGGCUAAAACACUGCUUGUAACCUGAAAUUUCUAUUUUAUUAACCUUCUUCUUUAUCUAAUAGUAGUCUGUCAUGUUCUGGGAGGGCAGAACAAUGCUCACCUGAUAAGAUGUCUCCUGGGAAUGCAAGCAGUUCAGAGAAAUGGAAGCAUGCAAAAAUUGUGCCUCCUUCAGCACAAAUGCAAAAAUACUCUUCUGAAAUACAGUGUACUCCUGUGCCCUCAGAUGUUGUUCUUCCUUUUUAUUAAAAAGUGUGUCAGAUGUGGAGAACUGGUCCCUGGUAGACUCUGUUAGCACACGACGUCACUUCUGAACUGGUCCGGUAAGUAAUUUGGACUUAAAAAUUAUGGAUGUUUUGGGAAGGUCAAUAUAGAAAUGUGUGUAUGGAAGUCAAAUAUAGGCAUUCCCAUGUGGCAGCUACAUGUGCUGCCAGUUUUGGACUAACAUUGUUUUACCCAAACGGCUAGAAAAGUAGUUCUAUUUUUUACCAAAGCAGCUUGUGUCAAAAGCGCAACUUGGCCAGGCCGACUCCACACGGAACAGGUAUGGGUUGAUGGCGCAUGUGAAUUGCAUGUAUGGGAUGCGGUACAGAUAUGAACUCAUCCAAACCCUAAAUGGAGAAGUAUUCCAGUGCAUCUGCUUCACUGCUAUUUGUGAGUUAAAGGCAUGCUAUGUUGAAGAAAUACAGCACUACUAAUUGCAGCUCUGUGUACUGUAUUUAAUUGGAACUGAAGAUGGUGUUGUGUAUUUGCUGUGCACACUUUCUGCACGUUGUUUUAUACAUGACACAUUCUCUGACCAAGGCAAUUAAUCCGCACAAGAGAGUUACAAAAGGGAGUGCCAUAUCUUUCAAAGGACUACACUGUGGCCUCUUUUCCACUUUGCUUGAUCGGCAUCCUAGUCUGCCCUGACCACAUAGCAUGGGCAUUUCAUGACUCAGCUGAAUUAAGCACAGAUGCCAUUAAAUAUUUACUUUCUGCAGCAGAAUGCAGCCGUUCAGGGCUAAAAAAAUUCUGCCAGAGAAACAUAAACAGUGCAGGGCUCCCCAAGUUGUAAGUUCCCAGAUGGUGAUGAAUAAGUCAUGUUGUACCUUGGGCCUAAUUGCUCUAAGUUCUCAGAUACUUGCAAAACAUCAAUUAUACAUUACAAGCUCUUCUUCUUAAUGGUUACUUGCCAGCAUUUAAAAAGAAAAGAAAAGAAAAUGUAGUAGAAAAGAGCAUUUGAGAUGCAGGGAAAUGUUCUUUUAACUCUUUGUUAUUUGUUAAAAAAUAGAUUUUGGAAGCAACCCCACUGUAGUUCACAGCCACUGGCCAUGACAAAUUGGAUUUGGGCUUAAAGCAGGGGUCCGCAACCUUUUUCAGCCGUGGGCCGGUCCAUCGUCCCUCAGACCAUGUGGUGGGCUGGGCUAUAUUUUGAAAAAUAAAUGAAUGAAUGAAUUCCUAUGCCCCACAAAUAACCCAGAGAUGCAUUUUAAAUAAAAGCACACAUUCUACUCAUGUAAAAACACGCUGAUUCCUGGACUAUCCGUGGGCUGGAUUGAGAAGGCGACUGGGCCGGAUCCGGCCCCCGGGCCUUAGGUUGCCUCCCCCUGCUCUAGCCCAAGGCAUUCUUGCUCCAGUGCUUGAUCAUGAAUGGCCACAAGUUCCUCCCUUCCCAGCUCCACUAAAACACACGUCUUUAAUGAAUGCUUACAAUGGUGCACUUGCAUAUUGCAUACAUGUGCUGUAUGCACAAUGCAAUGUACACAAAAGAUUGGAGAAGAGAUAAAAUAGUCAUUCUUUGUGAAAUAAAUAGCAAAAUAUGUGAAGUGCCCCCCUGCCAAGUUGGCCAAGUAGAUGAUAAGUUGCUGUAGGUGCAAAUGGUUUCUAAAGAGAGUAGAAGGGGCGGUACUUUCCUGAGCAUCCUGCCUCUUGUUUUGCCAACCACAGAACCACACGGCUCCAUACCCACCUGAUCGGGGGGGGGGGGCUGAUCAGCUGAAGUCUGCAGCACCUAAAGCAUGCCAUGGUUCCUGCUUUGGCAGCAAAAUGCUACCUGUCGAGCCCAGGAGGUCUGUGGUGGGAUUCAUUGCCUGCUUUGGAGUAGAAGCCAGAUGGCAGCCCUUCCACAGGGCCCAAGUCCUGCAGCAAAGGGGAGCCCCAAGGCCCGGAGAAGAGGUGCCAUGGGCAAUCUUCCCACUCCCCCACCCAUUCCCAGGCCACAGAUCCCCAGUAUUUGGUUAUUUGUUUUUACUUAGCAUAUUUAUUAUUUACCCCUUAACAAAGGUCCCAUGGUAGAUUAUUGCAUGAUCAAAACAGUGGAAUACCACAGGCAGUAAACAAUUGAAAUCAACCAAUAAAAGCCUGUUACCAUGCCUGUCUCAUUAACUUUGGGAACUGACCAGACAAAUUGCUCCACCAGCUAAGAAGGGCCAUGUGCCACCCCCCACUGAAUUGAAACAGUGACCCAUCUGUCAUAGUACCUUUCCGUGCCCAUACCUGGCAAGGUUUCCCACAUUACGCACAGCCAUAAAGCCCACAAGUGAGUAGCCGCCCCUGUGGAGUUUAUCUUACAUCCUACUCCUUGGCCUGUGACCCAGUCUCAUGGUGAAUGAGUGACCAGAGGUCAGGAGGAUGGAGCUUUGUAGUCUCACCCCAAGCUUCGUUGCAAAAUCUCAUAACAGAGCCAAAAUCCCAGCGCUCACAAAAUUUCACUGCCCACCAUCUUGUGAUGGCUGGGACCUCCUGACCUUCAAGACUAGCACCCAGAAGGCUCCCUGACUCUUCCCUGGACUGUCACAUCUCUUUCACUUCUGUACAGCACAGUCUGGAUAUUUUGGGGGGGGGGGGAGUGGAGGGCUUUUUGCAUUAAAUGAUCACCAAGGGGGGUUCUUUUCACAGGUCACUGACAGGUUCAUAAAAGGGAUUUAUCUAAUUCUCAUUCUAUUUAUACACAUGUAGUUUUUGUGAUGAAUUUUGCUGAGCUUUAGUUUCAAAGCAAUUUAUUACUGUUUCAUACUGAAACAGAGGAGGGAUAAUGAAGAUAAACUAGUGUUUCUAUUCAAAGGCUAUUUAGUCUGUUUUAGUAACAUAAAUUUCCUAUCUUUUUUUUUAAGAAAAAGACACCCAACUUUUCAAUCAGUUUUACAAGGACCAGGACUGCCAUUUGCCUUGCCUUCCCAAACAAGAAUAAAUGUACCUCUUUGGCCUAGUCCUACAGAACAGAACAAUAGCAUGAGUAGAUUUAAUUGCAGAUCUAAAAAUGGUUUGCCAGCUGCUGCCACUGACAACUGUUUCAGCUUGUGCCCUCUUUAAUUAGCAUGUAAUGAGCAAGCAGACAUGUUCAGACUGCAAAGAAACAUUGGUGAUCUGUAGAAUGAUGGUUAUGAUGCAGAAACAUUGGCUAUCCCAAUGGAGGGAUUUUUUACUGUGACCUGAUAGAACAAUAAUGAUGACAACAACAACUAUUGUUAAUUUCAUUAAUUUAUGAGUUUCUUCUCACAAAGGAGUCUCCAAGCAAUUUACAGCCAAAUAAAAUGCAAUACAUAACAAUAUAUCCAUUAAAAUACAAAUGGUUUAAAUAUAAAUGUUCAUUUAUAAUGAAUAAAGAUAGAAUUUUAAAAAACCACCCCACCCCAACAGAAAAUCAAUACUGAAAAGGCUGUUCUCACACUGUUACCUUCCAAACUUCUUUUAAAGGUGGCAUGCAGAAACUAGCCCCAGGUGACUAUUGUAGUGUCCAGGUUGUGUCCAGUUCUGGGCGCCACAAUUUAGGAAGGAUGUUGGCAAGCUGGAACGUGAGCAGACAAGGGCAACCAAGAUGAUCAAGGGUCUGGAAACCAAGCCUUUUUUAAAAAAAUCUUUUUUUCAAUACAAACAACAACCC
Molecule: non-coding RNA, 6582 nt
Organism: Podarcis lilfordi (Lilford's wall lizard)
Lineage: Eukaryota; Metazoa; Chordata; Lepidosauria; Squamata; Lacertidae
Source: the annotation of a GenBank genome assembly